Molecule: unclassified non-coding RNA, 345 nt
Filed under: soil metagenome
Description: partial contains 5.8S ribosomal RNA, internal transcribed spacer 2, and large subunit ribosomal RNA
Rfam family: 5.8S ribosomal RNA (bases 1-120)
Source: RNAcentral
GAUGAAGAACGCAGCGAAAUGCGAUACGUAAUGUGAAUUGCAGAAUUCAGUGAAUCAUCGAGUCUUUGAACGCACAUUGCGCCCCCUGGUAUUCCGGGGGGCAUGCCUGUCCGAGCGUCAUUGCUGCCCUCAAGCACGGCUUGUGUGUUGGGCCUCCGUCCUCCUCCCGGGGGACGGGCCCGAAAGGCAGCGGCGGCACCGCGUCCGGUCCUCGAGCGUAUGGGGCUUCGUCACCCGCUCUUGUAGGCCCGGCCGGCGCUUGCCGACACAUCAAUCUUUUUUCCAGGUUGACCUCAUAUCAGGUAGGGAUACCCGCUGAACUUAAGCAUAUCAAUAAGCGGAGGA